CCUACGGGAGGCAGCAGUGAGGAAUAUUGGUCAAUGGACGCAAGUCUGAACCAGCAAUGCCGCGUGCAGGAAGACGGCUCUAUGAGUUGUAAACUGCUUUUGUACGAGGGUAAACGCAGAUACGCGUAUCUGUCUGAAAGUAUCGUACGAAUAAGGAUCGGCUAACUCCGUGCCAGCAGCCGCGGUAAUACGGAGGAUUCAAGCGUUAUCCGGAUUUAUUGGGUUUAAAGGGUGCGUAGGCGGUCGGAUAAGUUAGAGGUGAAAUCCCGAGGCUCAACUUCGGAAUUGCCUCUGAUACUGUUCGGCGAGAGAGUAGUUGCGGUAGGCGGAAUGUAUGGUGUAGCGGUGAAAUGCUUAGAGAUCAUACAGAACACCGAUUGCGAAGGCAGCUUACCAAGCUACUUCUGACGUUGAGGCACGAAAGCGUGGGGAGCAAACAGGAUUAGAUACCCCAGUAGUC
Molecule: ribosomal RNA, 460 nt
Filed under: uncultured bacterium
Lineage: Bacteria
Description: partial 16S ribosomal RNA
Rfam family: Bacterial small subunit ribosomal RNA
Source: RNAcentral